Molecule: non-coding RNA, 122 nt
Organism: Vibrio sp.
Lineage: Bacteria; Pseudomonadati; Pseudomonadota; Gammaproteobacteria; Vibrionales; Vibrionaceae
Source: Rfam
AAUUCAAUCUACUGUUUAUUUUUGACUUCUUUUUCCUCCCCUAACCACCGGAGGCAAAGCCGUUUGUGAAAGAAAAGUCAAAAACAAACAGAAAGCCUCCCAACUCGGGGGGCUUUUUUAUA